CGAAAAGAGAAGCCGGUAUGAAGGGAGUUGAAGUCAGGAUCCGAGAGUCGUCGACAAGCUGGAGAGAGUGGUGUAGAUGUGGUGUCUAGGUAGCAUCUCGUUUUAUCGAUUUUGUUGCACUUAUUUGUAGGAGAUAAGGGAGUAAUUCUGUGUCACUAGUGGAUAUACGUUGGGUUAUGGCUAAAAUGAGUCUUUGGUAUUUGGAAUGUCAGAAUUGAUUUAGGGUUAAGGUGUGGCUCCAUGUAGAAGAGAAUUUAACCAAAGGGUAAAAUCGUUUAAUAGAAUAUGUGCAGAUUUCAUUUAAGAAAUAACCGAGGUUGUAGGCUGUUCGAGGGUAAAAGAGAUUUGCCUUGGUUUUAUGGCAACUGUCGGAGAUGAGUAAGCUUUUUGAAGGAGGAGAGGAAGCAUUGGAUUACACAGCAGUAAUCGCUAGAACAAUGCUAUGAAGUUAACGUUUGUACCAAUGUUGACCCAUUGUAAGUAACCGUUUUAUGAAAUUGAUCAUUGAAGCAUUGGGAAAUGUCAUUCGGAUGUGCUUUUACUUAAAGACCGCAAGUUAACAUGCAGGCCACCGACGGACUGAAUAAUUGAGAGUUGACGGAACGACAUAGGGCGUGUGCGAGCAGUGUAGUCCAGUCGGACGAUCUUCAGCUCAGAAUUUGAGGAUGUCUUUUUAGUUAUUUAUGCACGAUGGAGAAUCACAUAAACCUAAAGCUUUCUAUCAAGUUUCUUUCCGCGAGAAAGGGCAAGUUACUGAGGGAUUUCAUAGCAAAUGUGUUCGUGGAAAAAUUCACACAAAGAUGCAUAGAAUCAAGCAUCAGGAGGAAGCGAGUCAUUGACGCCAGUCUGCUAAAGGGGUAAGUCUGUCCAGCAGCGGUAGCCGGGAGAGGACAGGGAGUGGCCCAUGAUGGCGUCGCCCGGGGUAGAACAGGGAGUGGGCCAUGAUGGAGUCGCCCGGGGAAGGCCGUGCUCACUGGCUGACCCGCAGCAGUUCUUCACUGGCAAGCUUUAUGUUCUUGUGUACCAGCUAAAGCUGCCAGCUGAAGAACUGUUGUGGUUGGCUCUUUCCCUGCACACCCUCCCCUCCCACUCCAACCCCCCCACCACCACCACCAGUGCCCCCGGUGCCCCACUCUGCUGCAGAGAGCUGGAGGAGUGAGAGGCUCCAGGCCUUGGGGGAAAUGGAGCUGCAGCUGAAGAGUAGGGCUGCUCUCUGCUCGCUGAGCCUCGAUCAGACCUGACAUCAGACACAACCCAUCCAUCUCUCCCACCCACCCCUCUCUCUCUCUCUCUCUCUCUCUCUCUCUCUCUCUCUCUCUCUCUCUCUCUCCUCUACCCACCCUGCCCUCCUCACUCACGCUGGCCUGGCCAUCUCUCUAACUGGCUGAGCAUUUUUGCUCGGGCAUAAACAAAGGCAACUGGGCAGGGCCCGUGCUGACUCAGCCACAUUCCACACCCUGGUCACGUCCUCCCACCCUGCCCUUAUUUGGGCGCGGAGUAGGGCAGGGGGCUGCAUGAUGCUUUUACAAUGCAAACAGGAACCGGCAGCCUCCAUACAUCUCUGUCUCCUUCCCUCUCUCUCUGUCGCUCGCUCGCUCGCUUGCUCGCUCUCUCUCUCGCUCCCUCCCUCUCUGUCUCUCUCUCUCUCUCUCUCUAGCUCUCUCUGUCCCUCCCCCUCUCUGCUCUCCUUUCGCCUCGUCUCUCUUCUCUGGCUCAUGGAGGAAGAGACGAGGAUUAGGCGACUCCUUCACUAGCUCUCUUCCUCUUCCUCCCCCCUCUGUCCCCCUGGGCCUCAGACAGUGACUGUGACAUGUGUUUCUGUUUAUUAGUUAAGUCACAGCGUUCUGCCAGAAAGUCGAUGAAAAACACUGGCUGGACAUGGAACCAAAGCCCAAAUUCUCUUUUUUGUAAUUUUCAUUGUUUUAUUUAAUUUUUUUGUUUUGUUCUCCUGCCUUGUGGUCUGAAUGCCUUUGUUGUUUUUUUGUUGUUGUUGUGGAGUUUUGUUUGUUCAGGCUGAAUGUGCCGUGUGCCCCUGAAACAGCCGUCAUAGUUCGGCGCGCUCGCACACACACACACGCGCACACACACACGUUCAUGCCACAGAGGCCGACCGGCCCUCGAACGCGUCGUAAAUCGCACUUCAAGGGCAAAAGCCGGCGCCGAAAACAGGAUAUGAAAAAGUGGCCUGCUGGAAAGUGCCAAGCCAGAUGAACACAAAGGUAGGGAAUGUUCUCGCUAGAUACCAGAUGCCCCGCUGGAACCCAGUCAAGGAAAGAGCCAGACUUUGACUUAAAUUGACUGGACAUUGAAUGGACAAAGUAGUUCUGUAGGUGUGAGUACUAGCCACGAGUACAGUGUAGUCAAAGAAUCUUUUCUCCAAAGAAAAGAUGCACAAAUGAUCUCUUAAAAUCAUUUAGCUCGCCCUUUCUUUGUUUCUUUAUUCUUCCUUUUUUCCCUUUCUCUUCUCUCC
This is a long non-coding RNA of Clupea harengus (Atlantic herring), 2470 nucleotides long. The record is from Ensembl. NCBI's taxonomy places the organism in Eukaryota, Metazoa, Chordata, Actinopteri, Clupeiformes, Clupeidae.